ACAAUAUACUUUAUUGCCUGCUAGAUAAUCAAAGUGAGGAGUAAACACCAUAGCUGGAAAAAGCAGAAAAGGACUAGGAGAAGGAAAAGAAUAUCCAGUCACCAAACAAGUUAUCAGGCAAUAAACCAUACACAAUAUAAAUAAUCUGUUUCCCAAACAACUAAAUCUUUAUUUUGCUAAUGGCCAUUAUAUGGUUAAUUAUCAGUAGUAAAAUCUCUGGGUUUCCUUUUCUACACAGCAUUAGUAGUAAGAAAUAUAUAAGGGACUCUGCAGAAAGCAAUACAAAGGAGUUAUAUACACAGGCACCUUCUGUGGAGCAAGAACAGAACCUCAUCUAAUAAGGAAGGGCUAUCUACAAACCAGAGGACCAUGGUAAUACAAUAUUAGCUCAGACUUAGUUUAGCUGCAGCCUUUCCACAAGGUAGGCUAGCCAACUUAUGUAUACAUAUAUAUUUUAAUAUAGAUAUAUAUAGAGAUUUAUUAUUUUAAAAAUAAUGUGAACUACCUGUAGUUCCUAGACUAAUUUUAAAGAGGCAGUGUACCUUUCUGAAGCUUCAUUUCAGGAAGUAUAUUAAAAAUGGUAUAUAAAAGACUAGCAGACCCAAGCUCACAUAUCGAGUCCUGGUAUCAUCCCUCCAACUUCUUUUUCUAAUGCUGUAGCUGCCACCUGCAUUGACAGCAAUGCCUUUAGUCAUCUGGAUUGCUAUUUAUGUUGCUGUAAUUGCUACCACUAAAUUUACUGGAUUAUAGUGUUAGUAAUUGUGGAUUAUAAAUAGCAAUAAUGCUGCAGUACACUGUCAAAGCCUGCCGCGGUAUGAAGAUCUAGUCUGUAUGUGCAUGCAGAAUUUUGUUGCUUAAUCUAAAAGAAGAUUUCUCAGUCCAAGUGCUUCCCCUGUCAAUCCCACCACGCUUUCCAACCACAUGGCAAGGGCUCCUCUCUCUUAAGGAAGAUGUGAUGCCUCUCACCCCACACCAGCUCUCAGCAGCCCUUUGUUUUCAGACAUAAUAAUCCUUUCCUCUCACACAGCCAGUGUCCUUAAGGCUACUAAACACGACUUAUUAAAAUUAAAACUGACUAUUUGAGGAAAUGCUUUUGACACAUUUUGGUCCAUGUGAGCCUCGUGCUCCCCACAGCAGGCAGGGAGCAGAGUGCUGCCUGCCCAGGAGCCAAGCCCAAACUGCAGCAGGGGAUGAGAAAGGGAGAGACAUUUGCAGGGAGCACCACCAAGGCCCAGCAAAGCCCAGGGUGCCUUUUGCAUCACCCUUUUCCAGUCUGCUCCCUGUUGGUGUCUUGGGGUGCCCUCCCAAAGGCAAAGUGGGAGCAGGCAUGUGCAGGCAGGCUCCAAUGUAUCCCCUAAAAACAGGGAUGGAGGCAUGAGCCCCUCUUGUAGGUGGUAUCACUCUGCUCUCAGCCCACACAGGUGUCACCCAACAUGCUCCCUGCCUCAGGGUUUCUAGAAUCCUCUUCCCAAAUCAGUGGGAAUCAGCUGCUCUGCCCCAGGUACCCCAGCAGUGUUGAGGGUAUCCCCCACAGCCUGCUGCCUUUCCUGCCAAACCUGUGUCACCUAGCAUCAUCCCACCUGCACAAGUGACCACUCUGCUCCCCUGCACCCCCAGCCAGGCACAAACAGCCUCCAGUGCAAACUGAACAUCUGCCAAAAGCACCCAGCACACACUCAGCAGAAGCCAUCUAUGAUACAGCACAUGUAUCAAGGAAAGUGUGGCAAUAAACACUUUUCCCUAAUAAUUCUGACAUUUUGAUAGGGGAGCUUAAAAGUAGGUAUUUAAAAGAAGGAUGCCCUGAUGUGUUUGCAGUGGGAGGGAAGGAAGGAUGGGCUGUACCCAAGAGCUCUCAGCCCAGCAAACACAUCCUGGCUGAAUUGCAGCCUCUGCAUCUUUGAUUACAAAACAGUAAAGACGGAAAGUUCCUGACUGGGAUUUCAAGUGAACCCAGAAGCAAUCUGAAUCAGAAGCUACCUGAGCACAGGUAUCCUUUGUCUCAUCCAGGUACCCACAGGGAACAGGUGGAAAGUACCACAAGAAGAGGGGCACACAAAGCUGGAAGCUGAGCUUUUUGGUGCAUGAUACAAAUUCUUCUGCCUUUAUCAGAAAAGCCAAUGUGGAGGGACACUGCUUAAAACCCAGUCCCUUCAGUCUCUGCAUCACCACAGAGCAACAUUUCACCUUAUUUAUGCCCUUAGACUUUGCUUUGCCAUUGACACUGUGCAAGCACAACACAAGAGAAAUGCCUUUUUUUUUUUUCUUGUAUUUUGCUAAGAAUUUUGUGCAUGCAAAGGUAAGAGGAUCAGAGUUAUUUUUCAGUUCUGUUAGUAAUUCCUCUCCAACUCUACAGGACUCAAAGCACAUGCUGAUACUGAAGAGUAGGGAAAUGCAGGAAGCACGUGGUUAUGCUGGGAGGAAAGGAAAAAAAAAGGUCAAAUUUUAAGUGAGAAGCAAUUACACUGUAAAAUCAGGUGAAUAUUCAUCUGUACUGGCUGCUCUUGUGUUUUUGACUGCUGAGUAACCGGGUAUAAUUUGGAAGUCAUACCCUGGGUUAUCUGCUGUAAAGUUCAAUGAUUUUUUGUCACUUUUGUCUCCACUGUAACUUGUUUUGCUUAUUCCAGGUAGAGUUCCCAGGGCUGAGCAGCACUGAGAAAACCAUGAAGGAUUAAGAGUCUAUGAGAGUAGGAGAAACACUGUGAAACAUGAAGGAAAACCCUCUUCCUUCCCCAGGCAUCACUGAAGACUACAUUGAUGGUGAAAGGAGGACUACUGAACACACUGGUUAAUUUGCAACUGCAGUGUAGCCUGAUAGGCAUGCACCAUAGUUUCACAGUUUGUGACAACAGGAGCAAAAACAGGGGCAGUUUGUGGAGCAAAAACUCCUAGCUUAAGCCAGGGUGAUUAUUGGGCUUGGGGAAAAUAAUUUCAUCCUUCCCACAAAUUUGGUUUCCCCUUUUAUAGCGCCAGUUCUUCAAAUCACAAAGUUGUUGAGGAAAUUGCAUUUUCUAAACUGCUCCAUUGCCUCUUUUUCCUUUUUAAGCCAUUAAAUAUUUUCUCUCUCAACGCUUGGAGGACGCCAACUUGUGCAGGAGGUUGUCUGUGGAGAUCCUGCCCUUCAGAGUCAGUCUUUGGUCAGUACAGGGAUUUCAUCAAAGGCUCCUACUGGGACUGAACAGACCUGGGUGCCCCAUCCAUCCAAGUCCAUAAAUGAGGCCAGAUGUCACCUGGAGCAGGAUCUAUAGGAAGCCUCUCUUUGUGUCCUGCCUGGCCAUGCAGCCAGGGCUCUGCAGGGCUGGUGCUCACAGCCUUGGCAGCCCUGGGCAUGGCUGGGGCCCUGACCAUGGCAGUGUGGGGCUACAAAGGGCUGCUGUGCCCUGCAGGAGGCACCUGCCGGCUGCCACGGGGGCUGGGGGGCUUUGCCAUCACCUCCCCACACACAGCUUGGUGUGGGCACACAGCAGAGCAGGGCUGCAGGGUCUGGGGCAGGGUCCCAGCACAUGCCAGCAUGGCUGGGGUGAUCUCUGCCUGGUGCCUGUAGGGUCUAAGAGAUUUACUGACCCAUUCCUGCAAGCCUGCUGCUUCUGCUGAGCGUGACAAAGCCCUGAGUCCAGCCUGAGAGCCUCCUGAUCAACCACAACAGGCAGAAAAGGAAGCACUGCCCAGCUUGAGGGAUGUGCUGUCCCCUUUGCUUCCCCAGCAAUGGAUUCUCAGCAUGGUGUGACACCCAGAGACUCCUCACUGAACUGGUGCACAGGUAACAAACAGGGGAGUGCACAGCUCUUGUAACACACUCCAUUAGUGUCCUGCUUCAAAAUUAUUCCACUAGUCCUGGUUUGGAGCUGGAGAGAGAAUUGCAGGCACAGCCAUGGGUCCCUGUCCCAAAGCAGAGACCUGGGCAUGUCCUGGUGCCUGCACUGCCCACAGCUGUUUCCAAGGCAAAAGGAAGCAGGAGAGGACAGCUGUAGGCCAAGGGCAGGCUCUGGCCCCUGCUGCCUCUCCAGCCUCUUGCUGUGCUGGCACAAGCCUAAAUAAAUGGAUUAUGUUCUCCUUUGGUUUCCUCCUCGUAAUAUGGCUUUAUUGAUGGCCUUAAAAGGGUACCAAGGAAAAAGGCUAGCAAGCUGGGUCAGUUUGGGGCUAGGGAUUUUUUGGUUUGGCUGUUUUUUCACUGUCUGAACUCUGUAAAAAAAAAAAAAAAAAGAAGGCAUCUACUGGAUAGAAAACACAGCAUGAGGAGAAAGGUCUCUUUGAACCUUUCUGAUAUGGCUAUUAACCAUCAACCUGACACACCAUUCAAAGAAAGAGGUUUUUAAAGGCAUGGAGGAGUCCUGUGGUGAGCAAAUUUGGGCUGGGGCUCCUUGAAAAUCUUGUCUCAGAUUUUAUCUGACCAUUAUUUCUUAGGUUGCAUUUAUAAAAACAGCUGAAAUGCUCCUCUGUCUAAUGUCAUUUGAGGUCACUGUCUUUUUCUCCUAUACCCUAAAAUUUUGUACUUAGGCACUGGGGGAAUAAACCAUCCUCAAAAAGACAGUCAAACACAGCAUGGAAAAAACAGCAUGGGAAAUGGUUGAUUCUCCACUAUUAGAGGCUUUUAAGGACAAGUUCAACACUCACACAUCCACCCAUUCCAAGCUUAACCUGCCUUGGAAAAUGUCUAGCUGAUGUCUCCAAGUCCCUUUUGGCCCUGUGACUCUGCACCAAGUAAAUACUGCCAAGAUCUCAUCCUGCCACAGCCCAUCCUCCUUCAGCCUUUUUCCACCUUGAAAAAUGCUGACCUAUCUUCUGACUAAGUUGAUAAUGAACAAGAAAACCCCACAGUGACAAGAACCACUGCCUCUUUUAAACACCCUUCACUAGCUCUUGCCCAUGGAUUGCAUGUGUUGGGCAUUCAAGGAGCAUCUGCUUUCUAAAUCUACUACAAGUAGCCCAAAGAAUUAUGUGGCUUGCAUGAAACAUAACUGUGUCUUGUAAAAAAAAAAAAAAAAAAAGAAACUAUAAAGGUCAAGCUAGGAGCCUGGGCCAUUUUAAAACAGGCACUGACAAACAUCAUGACAAAGACCUUUAGGAAAUACCAACACUGCUGUGAUGAUGAUGUGCAACACUGCAUUUCACAUAACAUGAUUGCCCAAUGCAGCAACAUAACAGCAGCCAAAGGAGGGAAAGGAAGGGAACAAACAGCAGCAGCCACACUGGUCUGCCACACUCAUCUAUGGAUGGCAGUGGGAAUCCAUCUGUUCACCAUUUCUGCAGUAAAUCAUUCCUUGAGCAACUUAGAAAAUGCAGAAUUUGAUUUAUGGAGGUCUUUCUUUAUAGGCUUGUCUGCAUCCCCCACCCCUAUUUAUAAAUUUCACAUGGGUGAAAAGAAACCAUCUAGGGACAGAUUCAGUGGUGAAAGUCUGUGGCAUCCUUCCCCAAUUCAUGUUUCUGGAUGAAAGCAGUGCUCAGUAACAAUAACGAGAGGAUAAAAAAGUCUUUACACCAGCAAUUACUCCAUGUGCACAGAGCCUUGAGACAACCACCAUCACAACAGUAUUUCAAGGAGAUGGAUGAAGUUUACAACAGCAAGUGUCAGGUGCUUCCAGUGCCAAUCUCUGCCUGUAACAAACCUGCAGGGAACUGUCCCAACACAACCCCUGCUGUGCAAAGUGCCUACAGCAGCUUUCCAACACCAGCAGGUGAGAGAGACAGAAAUUAAAAUGGUAUUUUACAAACUGACAAGAUGUGCAGCCCAAGAGCCCUGGGCUGUGUGAAUCCCACAGGUGCAACUGGAGCUGCAGCUGCCUGCAGCACCUGCAUCCCUUGUCCCAUCCCUGUGGAUGCAGGGAAAAGCCAUAAUGCUGCAUGUCUGACCCCACAGCCUGCCCACACUGCUUAGGCAAGGCUGGAUCAGCAAGGUAACUGCAAAAGCCACUAUUAGGUUUGUUUGAUGAUUUCUUCCGUAAUUAUGGAGAAAAAAAUAAGUGUAAUUGUCUGGGGGUUGUCUUUUCCUAAGACAGAAUAAAGGAAGAAAUUAAGAAUAAGAUAAUAAAGAAAUUUAGAAAUGUGUUGAGUUUUAUUUUGCAAGUUAAGGCUUAGCAUGAGCUCUUGUGAAUGU
Molecule: long non-coding RNA, 6091 nt
Filed under: Taeniopygia guttata (zebra finch)
Lineage: Eukaryota; Metazoa; Chordata; Aves; Passeriformes; Estrildidae
Description: lncRNA (ENSTGUG00000018994.1)
Source: RNAcentral